Molecule: transfer-messenger RNA, 430 nt
Filed under: bacterium
Lineage: Bacteria
Also listed under: 1 other name
Description: XYB2-FULL-45-9 sp018822365 Standard tmRNA
Rfam family: transfer-messenger RNA
About the family: Bacterial tmRNA, also known as 10Sa RNA or SsrA, is named for its dual tRNA and mRNA-like properties. Its role is to liberate the mRNA from a stalled ribosome.
Source: RNAcentral
GGGGCUGUAAGGGUUUUGACGGGGAGUUGUGGUUGCGUGAGUUGCGAGCCGAGGAUGUCAUCUCACCUCGUAAAACAUGGUGGCAACGUUCAAACGCGAACGUACAAACAUUAAUUGCAGACGCGCGUGAAAUGGGUCUCGAUGCCUUCAAGCAAUUGAUCGGCUAUCAGCCCGCUCCCGCUCUGCAAGCUGCUUAAUAACUAAGUAGCACGUCUUCCGAAUUCGCCGAUAGGUUCGGGUCAAGAUGUUAUUUUGUCGGAUACCUGGCUGGUCCCGCCGGUUGGCAAGCCGGGGAAACAAUAAAGCGGCUAGUCCGGGAGCCUCCUCGUUUAAGGAAAAGUUCCGGAUGAAAUAAUAAUUGAAACUACGCUCGUAGUGGCUCCCGUAAUUGCCUUUCCGGACAGGGGUUCGACUCCCCUCAGCUCCACCA